RNAcentral lists this ribosomal RNA (525 nucleotides) under uncultured bacterium. RNAcentral describes it as "bacterial SSU rRNA". It matches the Rfam family "Bacterial small subunit ribosomal RNA", at positions 369 to 885 of the family's 1533-position model. The record is from RNAcentral.
CAAUGGACGAAAGUCUGACGGAGCAACGCCGCGUGAGUGAAGAAGGUUUUCGGAUCGUAAAACUCUGUUUUCAGGGACGAAUGUGUGGAUUGUAAAUAAUGAUCCAUAAUGACGGUACCUGACAAGAAAGCCACGGCUAACUACGUGCCAGCAGCCGCGGUAAUACGUAGGUGGCAAGCGUUGUCCGGAAUUAUUGGGCGUAAAGCGCGCGCAGGUGGGAUAAUCAGUCUGAUGUGAAAGUUCGGGGCUUAACCCCGUGAAGCAUUGGAAACUAUUAUUCUUGAGUGCAGGAGAGGAAAGUGGAAUUCCUAGUGUAGCGGUGAAAUGCGUAGAUAUUAGGAGGAACACCAGUGGCGAAGGCGACUUUCUGGACUGUGUCUGACACUGAGGCGCGAAAGCCAGGGUAGUGAACGGGAUUAGAUACCCCGGUAAUCCUGGCCGUAAACGAUGGGUACUAGGUGUUGGGGGUAUCGACCCCUCCAGUGCCGGAGUUAACGCAAUAAGUACCCCGCCUGGGGAGUACGG